ACCACCCUGAACAUUUUCGUCAGGUUGAAAACACGAUGGUGUGUGUGUCAGUUCUACACUUUCCCAUUCAAACGAGCGUUCCACAGGAGGAGUUAGAAACAGUUGAUUGAUCACAGUGGGAUCAAACUCAAAAUGGCACCCCCUGAUGAACACACCAAACAAAGUAUAAUACUUGUUUCGAGAUACAUUCCCUAACAACCCUAGAACAGAAGGGACGAACAUGAGGAGUCAGAAACAGUUGAUUGAUCACAGUGGGAUCAAACUCAAAAUGGCGCCCCCUGAUGAACACACCAAACAAAGUAUAGUACUUUUUCGAGAUACAUUCCCUAACAACCCUAUGACGGAAGGGACGAACAUGCAUGACAAUGUAAAUCCAACCUACACUAUCGAUUAUGUGUUGAGCCUCAGC
This 409-nucleotide long non-coding RNA is filed under the name Brassica napus (rape). RNAcentral describes it as "long non-coding RNA (BNAP_LNC015951)". The record is from RNAcentral. Lineage: Eukaryota; Viridiplantae; Streptophyta; Magnoliopsida; Brassicales; Brassicaceae.